This 582-nucleotide long non-coding RNA is filed under the name Vulpes vulpes (red fox). RNAcentral's name for it is "lncRNA (ENSVVUG00000000251.1)". The record is from RNAcentral. Lineage: Eukaryota; Metazoa; Chordata; Mammalia; Carnivora; Canidae.
UUUUACACAAAAAGUAUGUUGAAUCUUUCAUCAACAGACUCUAAACCUUCGAUGCACAUCUAAAACCUUACAGCUCAAUGAUAAAAAGCAUGUCUCCAAGAGGCUCACUCCAGAUGACCUGUAGAUACUCUUGACUACAUCUUCUGUGAAGUUCCCCCAUGAAGCUGAAUCUCUAUGCCAGACACCAUGAAGACUGGGUUCAGAAAUUCUUUGUUUAGUGAGACACGCAGAGUCCCCAGUUAGUAUGGAAAGGUCUCAGGUAGCCCAAUUUGCAGUGCAAAACUUUCUCCAAAGUUAUAUAACACUCUUGCCUGGAAACUAGUUUCCUACUCAUUAACACCCAGGACAUCAGGUAGAAUUAGCAGAUCAUGAUUUGCCCAGAUGUCUGGCUUGUUCUGCCUCUAAUAGCCUGCACAUUCACCUACGGGGAAGGCCACAGGUGGUGAAAGCCACAGAGUAGAUACCCUCUCUCGGAAGGCCAAGUGUGAAGAAGAAACUGCAGCUGAGGCUUCCGUGGUCUGGUUCUGUUUACAACUGACGGAGGAGGGGAAAGGCAAGUGUUAUAUCAGGAUGCCUAAAUGA